RNAcentral lists this ribosomal RNA (467 nucleotides) under uncultured bacterium. RNAcentral's name for it is "partial 16S ribosomal RNA". It matches the Rfam family "Bacterial small subunit ribosomal RNA", at positions 28 to 507 of the family's 1533-position model. The record is from RNAcentral.
GACGAACGCUGGCGGCGUGCUUAACACAUGCAAGUCGAACGGAAAGGCCUCUUUCGGGGGGUACUCGAGUGGCGAACGGGUGAGUAACACGUGAGUAACCUGCCCUUGACUUUGGGAUAACUUCAGGAAACUGGGGCUAAUACCGGAUAGGAGCUCCUGCUGCAUGGUGGGGGUUGGAAAGUUUCGGCGGUUGGGGAUGGACUCGCGGCUUAUCAGCUUGUUGGUGGGGUAGUGGCUUACCCAGGCUUUGACGGGUAGCCGGCCUGAGAGGGUGACCGGCCACAUUGGGACUGAGAUACGGCCCAGACUCCUACGGGAGGCAGCAGUGGGGAAUAUUGCACAAUGGGUGGAAGCCUGAUGCAGCAACGCCGUGUGCGGGAUGACGGCCUUCGGGUUGUAAACCGCUUUCGCUCAUGACGAAGCUUUGUGUGACGGUAGUGGGUAAAGAAGCACCGGCUAACUACGUG